AUCGGAGCAAAACGAAGAGAAAAUCCGCACGAAGGAGAGAGAGAGAGAAGAAAAAACUGUACUACAUGACUAACGUGAGUAUAUGACAGUCGCAGUGUUCUGGAUAUUUUACAGAAACGAUAGCGGAGAUGUAAGCAGAGUGCAGAAGAAACAAUAUUUCCUCAGACAGGACAUGGGACGGCUCAACUCCACAAGUAACAUUUUACGCCUGUUGUUGGCCACCGUAAUUCUGGCCUGCGUGGCUAGAGGAGAUCAGCGAACCCGGCACGAGCCUCCGGGUCGUUUACGUCCUAAGCCAUCUCAAGAUCUUCCCAUCAUAGGACUGAUAGAAUCGACUGACAAGAAGUACGAUCCUCUACCAGAAGAUCUCAACUACCUUAAACUCAGGAACCUGAUGGGUAAGAACUUCGAUCCGGAGUGCAUGAGUCACUAUCGACCGAUCGAAAGCAUAAAGCAUCCAAAUGGCACACUUGAACACAUUACUUUCAAAGGCAAUAAUCGUGGUCGUCUUCGACGUCGACGUCGGAUGCCGUCAAAAAUCAAGGACUUGAAGCUCCACUCUCUCACGCUACCGGACGGCACGAAACUACGGCUAAAGUUCGGCAAAAAGAUACGCCGCAAGUUCAAGAAGAUGUUAUGGGUGUUCACCUACUGUCCGGUGGUUCGCACGUGGAGGAACCUCGGGAUUCGGUUCUGGCCACAAUGGAUUCGUGAAGGAAUGUGUUACCAAAAGAGUUCGUGCUCUUUCCCGCCAGGAAUGAGUUGCAAACCACGAAAUUCGGUGAAGAAAACUCUUCUACGGUGGCACUGCCAGAACUGGGAGAAGCGACACGUGUGCAGGUGGAUACCGGUGAUAUACCCUGUCAUCACGGAAUGCCAGUGCAGCUGUUAAUGUCAUCUGACUGCUUAGCAUCUGAGAGGACCGAGUGAUACAACCACUGUUGUUUGCGUCGCCACUGCCGACUAACCUUAUACUGUGGAGGCGUCUACUUCAGCUCUCCGGCGCCAGAUCCUGCCUAAUUUUGGUCCCACUAGUGGGUUGCGUGGGCUCGCGCGUCUGUGAUGCCCAUUCCUUAUAGAUAAAUUGACGGCAAUAUCAUUGCUCCAGACGGUUUAGAUUCACGGCAACAUCGUAGCUCCAGACGGUUUAGAUUGACGGCAACAUCGUAGCUCCAGACGGUUUAGAUUCACGGCAACAUCGUAGCUCCAGACGGUUUAGAUUCACGGCAACAUCGUAACUCCAGACGGUUUAGAUUGACGACAACAUCGUAGCUCCAGACGGUUUAGAUUGACGGCAACAUCGUAGCU
Molecule: unclassified non-coding RNA, 1308 nt
Filed under: Limulus polyphemus (Atlantic horseshoe crab)
Lineage: Eukaryota; Metazoa; Arthropoda; Merostomata; Xiphosura; Limulidae
Description: noggin-2-like, transcript variant X1
Source: RNAcentral